RNAcentral lists this ribosomal RNA (497 nucleotides) under uncultured bacterium. Its description in RNAcentral is "partial 16S ribosomal RNA". It matches the Rfam family "Bacterial small subunit ribosomal RNA", at positions 28 to 507 of the family's 1533-position model. The record is from RNAcentral.
GAUGAACGCUGGCGGCGUGCCUAAUACAUGCAAGUCGAGCGAACAGAUGAGGAGCUUGCUCCUCUGACGUUAGCGGCGGACGGGUGAGUAACACGUGGAUAACCUACCUAUAAGACUGGGAUAACUUCGGGAAACCGGAGCUAAUACCGGAUAAUAUAUUGAACCGCAUGGUUCAAUAGUGAAAGACGGUUUUGCUGUCACUUAUAGAUGGAUCCGCGCCGCAUUAGCUAGUUGGUAAGGUAACGGCUUACCAAGGCAACGAUGCGAAGCCGACCUGAGAGGGUGAUCGGCCACACUGGAACUGAGACACGGUCCAGACUCCUACGGGAGGCAGCAGUAGGGAAUCUUCCGCAAUGGGCGAAAGCCUGACGGAGCAACGCCGCGUGAGUGAUGAAGGUCUUCGGAUCGUAAAACUCUGUUAUUAGGGAAGAACAAAUGUGUAAGUAACUAUGCACGUCUUGACGGUACCUAAUCAGAAAGCCACGGCUAACUACGUG